This is a long non-coding RNA of Scophthalmus maximus (turbot), 1975 nucleotides long. RefSeq lists it as uncharacterized. NCBI's taxonomy places the organism in Eukaryota, Metazoa, Chordata, Actinopteri, Pleuronectiformes, Scophthalmidae. The transcript is spliced from 9 exons. The record is from RefSeq and is a predicted model, not a curated record.
CUUGCUAUUUUUCCUGGCCUGCAUUCAGACGAUGAAGUAGUUCACGGUUGGUGCCUUUGCUCUCCGAUCCAGCAGACUGCUAUAGAUUGAAACGUUGAAACUCUCUGCUGAUGAAGACUCAACAUUUUUCACAACAGGGCAGAGAGGAUCCUGUUGGGGAAACCCUUUCUGCAGAUCCGGAUGCCUUCCAGCACACCGUUACAGCGCAGCUGGUGCAUCACCAGGGGGUUCUCCAUGGCCCCGGGAGUCUUGGUCUCGUUAGGGAUGAUGCAGCGUACAAAGUGAGGACUGAGCUGACCUAUCACCAUCCAGGGCCCUGCAUUAAUGGAAGCACACCUGAAAGGAGAUGCUCCCUUAUCUUGAUCACCCUUGUUGUUGCUUGCCAGAAAAAUAAAAGGACAAAGAUAACUUGUGAAAUUCCUGCUGGGUGCCUUUGGGGCUUGCUGGUUCAAAGAAGAGCCUGGGGACAGCUUGUGACGUGAAUGGUCAGGGCAGGUUUAAGUUCUUCAUUGACCAGCAGCAACAGACUAUGGACUUCUUUGUGGACCCUUCGCUUGUCUUCUGAUGAGGCAAUGAUCAGGACGUGGCAAAAUAUUAGGAAGGUCUGUCUUGGAGGACUCUACCCCUUAAUACACCAAGUCCAGAAUAUCUGUUGUCAGACAUAAUUCAAAUGGCCUUCCCUCAUCGGGUUUUGAAAAGAGCAUGAUUGUUACUACCUCCACGUCUGAUAUGAAGAGGAUCCUGUUGGGGAAACCCUUUCGGCAGAUCCGGAUGCCUUCCAGCACACCGUUACAGCGCAGCUGGUGCAUCACCAGGGGGUUCUCCAUGGCCCCGGGAGUCUUGGUCUCGUUGGGGAUGAUGCAGCGUACAAAGUGAGGCUGUCUAAACCCCUUUGGAAAUCUUCAUCUGUGUUGUGUCCCCUUCCUGGCUUUCAUCUCCUUUUCAUACACUGAGUCGUAGCCACUCAGUGUAUGAGACUCCUCUAAGUUACGUUGAAAACAAAGGGGACUACAGCACGGGAGAUCCAAAAGCUCCUAGGUGGCCAUCUGAGAGUCUCACUCCUCAUCUAGCCCUUUCUGUGAUGAAGAAUGAUAAAAGAGAAGACAAACAGAUGGAUCAGAGACAGAAGACCAACAAGGUAGUAUACAAAACUACAUUUUAGAAAUUGUUCAACAUCAAGUUGUUGUAGUGUAUCGGACACAAAUCAUUUCAAAUGUUCCAAAACUUUCAAAAACUCAUAUUGAAUUUGUACGAUUGGAAAAAAACUCUAGCACUAAAUGUAUGUCGAGGAACAGAUCAUAUCAUGUAUUAAUGUAAUAUAUGCAAUAUCUAAGUUGAAGAGCCAAGGGAAUCUUCAGUAAAUGUCAAGACAUUUAUUUUUGGUUUGGGUUUUUUGUAACUGUGAAAGCUGUGAUUCUAAUUCUAUUCUCCAGAGGUUUGUUUUCUUAAUGAUUUUAGUAGAAGAUUAAACAAAAGUGCUGAUAAGUGUGCAUGAGAGAUAAUAAUUGCUAAUAAUAAUUGCCUUUUGUUAACAAUUCACAAGAGGGAACAUAUAAUAACAAAAACUAUCUGCUCUACCUAGAUCAUCUAUCAAUCAAUGCAUUGUUUCACAUUUUUAUUUAUUUUUUGGGGAACAUUGAUAUGAUUGGGUGACAUUGCUGUCAUGGCAGCCUCAUCAAAAAAUCCAUCUCAUGGAACGAUGAAAUUAAUUUAAGGGCUCCUGUGUUCAGAAGUAACCAUGAGCAGUUCCUGGUUUGAGUCUGGACAGGGACCUCUUUGGCAUGGCAUUAAUUCUCUCUUCUUUAAUUUUUACUGUCAUGUCACUAACAAAUCAGUUACAUUGUCAUGGACCCUUCCCUGUGAGAAAAAAACAAACGCAUUACCACUAACCUUUUAAUACAUUAAUACAAUUCACCAGAUUCAGAAAAAACAGCCAAAAUAAAAUUGAUCUGUACAAAGACUGGUUUGAUUUAUU